Molecule: ribosomal RNA, 253 nt
Filed under: uncultured bacterium
Lineage: Bacteria
Description: partial 16S ribosomal RNA
Rfam family: Bacterial small subunit ribosomal RNA
Source: RNAcentral
UACGGGGGGGCAAGCGUUGUUCGGAAUUACUGGGCGUAAAGGGCUCGUAGGCGGCCAACUAAGUCAGACGUGAAAUCCCUCGGCUUAACCGGGGAACUGCGUCUGAUACUGGAUGGCUUGAGAUUGGGAGAGGGAUGCGGAAUUCCAGGUGUAGCGGUGAAAUGCGUAGAUAUCUGGAGGAACACCGGUGGCGAAGGCGGCAUCCUGGACCAACACUGACGCUGAGUGAGCGAAAGCCAGGGGAGCAAACGGG